Molecule: ribosomal RNA, 310 nt
Filed under: uncultured Erwinia sp.
Lineage: Bacteria; Pseudomonadati; Pseudomonadota; Gammaproteobacteria; Enterobacterales; Erwiniaceae
Description: bacterial SSU rRNA
Rfam family: Bacterial small subunit ribosomal RNA
Source: RNAcentral
GUGCCAGCAGCGGCGGUAAUAACGGAAGGGUGCAAGCGUUAAUCGGAAUUACUGGGCGUAAAGCGCACGCAGGCGGUCUGUCAAGUCGGAUGUGAAAUCCCCGGGCUCAACCCGGGAACUGCAUUCGAAACUGGCAGGCUGGAGUCUCGUAGAGGGGUAGAAUUCCAGGUGUAGCGGUGAAAUGCGUAGAGAUCUGGAGGAAUACCGGUGGCGAAGGCGGCCCCCUGGACGAAGACUGACGCUCAGGUGCGAAAGCGUGGGAGCAAACAGGAUUAGAUACCCUGGUAGUCCACGCCGUAAACGAUGUCUA